AGAUACCCUGGUAGUCCACGCCGUAAACGAUGUCGACUUGGAGGUUGUGCCCUUGAGGCGUGGCUUCCGGAGCUAACGCGUUAAGUCGACCGCCUGGGGAGUACGGCCGCAAGGUUAAAACUCAAAUGAAUUGACGGGGGCCCGCACAAGCGGUGGAGCAUGUGGUUUAAUUCGAUGCAACGCGAAGAACCUUACCUGGUCUUGACAUCCACGGAAGUUUUCAGAGAUGAGAAUGUGCCUUCGGGAACCGUGAGACAGGUGCUGCAUGGCUGUCGUCAGCUCGUGUUGUGAAAUGUUGGGUUAAGUCCCGCAACGAGCGCAACCCUUAUCCUUUGUUGCCAGCGGUCCGGCCGGGAACUCAAAGGAGACUGCCAGUGAUAAACUGGAGGAAGGUGGGGAUGACGUCAAGUCAUCAUGGCCCUUACGACCAGGGCUACACACGUGCUACAAUGGCGCAUACAAAGAGAAGCGACCUCGCGAGAGCAAGCGGACCUCAUAAAGUGCGUCGUAGUCCGGAUUGGAGUCUGCAACUCGACUCCAUGAAGUCGGAAUCGCUAGUAAUCGUGGAUCAGAAUGCCACGGUGAAUACGUUCCCGGGCCUUGUACACACCGCCCGUCACACCAUGGGAGUGGGUUGCAAAAGAAGUAGGUAGCUUAACCUUCGGGAGGGCGCUUACCACUUUGUGAUUCAUGACUGGGGUGAAGUCGUAACAAGGUAACCGUAGGGGAACCUGCGGUUGGAUCACCUCCUUACCUUAAAGAAGC
Molecule: ribosomal RNA, 765 nt
Filed under: Shigella flexneri
Lineage: Bacteria; Pseudomonadati; Pseudomonadota; Gammaproteobacteria; Enterobacterales; Enterobacteriaceae
Description: bacterial SSU rRNA
Rfam family: Bacterial small subunit ribosomal RNA
Source: RNAcentral